Molecule: ribosomal RNA, 403 nt
Filed under: uncultured bacterium
Lineage: Bacteria
Description: bacterial SSU rRNA
Rfam family: Bacterial small subunit ribosomal RNA
Source: RNAcentral
UAGGGAAUAUUAGUAAUGGGCGCAAGCCUGAACUAGCAACGCCGCGUGUGCGAAGAAGGCCUUCGGGUUGUAAAGCACUUUUAGAGGAGAUGAGAAAGGACAGUAUCCUCUGAAUAAGCCUCGGCGAACUACGUGCCAGCAGCCGCGGUAAAACGUAGGAGGCUAGCGUUAUCCGGAUUUAUUGGGCGUAAAGCGCGUGCAGGCGGUUUAUCAAGUUGGAUGUGAAGGCUCCUGGCUUAACUGGGAGAGGUCGUUCAAAACUGAUAGACUAGAGAAUGGUAGAGGGAGGUGGAAUUCCGGGUGUAGUGGUGAAAUGCGUAGAUAUCCGGAGGAACACCAGUGGCGAAAGCGGCCUCCUGGGCCAUUUCUGACGCUAAGACGCGAAAGCUAGGGUAGCAAACGG